GCGGCCGUGGUCUAGCCAGGUAUGACGCGGGGGCCCCGGCCCCGAUGUCCCGGGUUCAAAUCCCGGCGGCCGCA
RNAcentral lists this transfer RNA (74 nucleotides) under Candidatus Bathyarchaeota archaeon. Its description in RNAcentral is "tRNA-Gly". It matches the Rfam family "tRNA". From Rfam's summary of the family: Transfer RNA (tRNA) molecules are approximately 80 nucleotides in length. Their secondary structure includes four short double-helical elements and three loops (D, anti-codon, and T loops). Further hydrogen bonds mediate the characteristic L-shaped molecular structure. tRNAs have two regions of fundamental functional importance: the anti-codon, which is responsible for specific mRNA codon recognition, and the 3' end, to which the tRNAs corresponding amino acid is attached (by aminoacyl-tRNA synthetases). tRNAs cope with the degeneracy of the genetic code in two manners: having more than one tRNA (with a specific anti-codon) for a particular amino acid; and 'wobble' base-pairing, i.e. permitting non-standard base-pairing at the 3rd anti-codon position. The record is from RNAcentral. Lineage: Archaea; Thermoproteati; Candidatus Bathyarchaeota. RNAcentral also lists the same sequence under 2 other names.